This is a non-coding RNA of Drosophila mojavensis, 144 nucleotides long. The record is from Rfam. NCBI's taxonomy places the organism in Eukaryota, Metazoa, Arthropoda, Insecta, Diptera, Drosophilidae.
GUCUUGGCUGGUUCGAAGACCACAAAACGCUUUCCAACAAGUUGCGUGGUUCAAAUACAAAGCCAAAAGCAAUUUUUGAUACGACGGUCUCUGAUCUUGAGCAUUCUCCAGCCAUUUCAGUAACUUUUACGUGCAAUUACAAAG